CAGGUUUAGUAAUUGGAAUGAGAACAAUUUAAAACCCUUAUCGAGUAUCAAUUGGAGGGCAAGUCUGGUGCCAGCAGCCGCGGUAAUUCCAGCUCCAAUAGCGUAUAUUAAAGUUGUUGCGGUUAAAAAGCUCGUAGUUGGAUUUCUGCAUGGAAGGAGCGGUCCACCCAUUGGGCGAGUUACUGCUACCUUUGAUGCAUCUUUCUGAGGACGUGUUCUUCACUUAAUUGUGAGGGCGCAGGACUCAGAACAUUUACUUUGAGGAAAUGAGAGUGUUUCAAGCAGGCAAAUGCCUUGAAUACGUUAGCAUGGAAUAAUAGCAUCGGACCAUCGUCCAGCUGUUGGUGUCUGGGCGAAGGUAAAGGUGAAUAGGGAUUGUUGGGGGCAUUCGUAUUUAACUGUCAGAGGUGAAAUUCUUGGAUUUGUUGAAGACGGACCACUGCGAAAGCAUCUGCCAAAGAUGUUCUCAUUGAUCAAGAACGAAAGUUAGGUGAUCGAAGACGAUCAGAUACCGUCCUAGUCUUAACCAUAAACUAUGCCGACUGGAGAUAGGAAGCGUUUAUCUUACGACUCUUUCUGCAUCUUGAGAGAAAUCAAAGU
RNAcentral lists this ribosomal RNA (600 nucleotides) under uncultured dinoflagellate. RNAcentral's name for it is "SSU rRNA". It matches the Rfam family "Eukaryotic small subunit ribosomal RNA", at positions 497 to 1104 of the family's 1831-position model. Lineage: Eukaryota; Dinophyceae. The record is from RNAcentral.